CCCUUAGAUGUUCCGGGCCGCACGCGCGCUACACUGACGAAUGCAACGAGCUUAUAACCUUGGCCGAAAGGUCUGGGUAAUCUCCAAAUUUCGUCGUGAUGGGGAUAGAUUAUUGCAAUUAUUAAUCUUCAACGAGGAAUGCCUAGUAAGCGCAAGUCAUCAGCUUGCGUUGAUUACGUCCCUGCCCUUUGUACACACCGCCCGUCGCUCCUACCGAUUGAAUGGUCCGGUGAAGCGUUCGGACCGUGGCCUUUGGACGGUUCGCCGUCUGUUGGCUGCGGGAAGUUCGUUAAACCUUAUCAUUUAGAGGAAGGAGAAGUCGUAACA
RNAcentral lists this ribosomal RNA (327 nucleotides) under uncultured eukaryote. RNAcentral's name for it is "partial 18S ribosomal RNA". It matches the Rfam family "Eukaryotic small subunit ribosomal RNA", at positions 1470 to 1796 of the family's 1831-position model. The record is from RNAcentral.